Phyllostomus discolor (pale spear-nosed bat) is the source of this 157-nucleotide long non-coding RNA. RefSeq lists it as uncharacterized. NCBI's taxonomy places the organism in Eukaryota, Metazoa, Chordata, Mammalia, Chiroptera, Phyllostomidae. The record is from RefSeq and is a predicted model, not a curated record. The transcript has 2 exons.
GUGGUUGGAGUGCUGACCUGUGAAUUAAAGAGUCCCUGGCUUAAUUCCCAGUCAGGGCACAUGCUUGGGUUGCAGUCCAGGUUCCCUGUAGAGGGUGCGUGAGAGGCAAUCACACAUUGAUGUUUCUCUCCCUCUCUUUCUCCCUCCCUUCCCCUCU